This 120-nucleotide non-coding RNA is filed under the name Candidatus Jettenia caeni. RNAcentral describes it as "planctomycete KSU-1 c-di-GMP-I-GGC riboswitch aptamer". It matches the Rfam family "c-di-GMP-I-GGC riboswitch aptamer". RNAcentral also lists the same sequence under 1 other name. Lineage: Bacteria; Pseudomonadati; Planctomycetota; Candidatus Brocadiia; Candidatus Brocadiales; Candidatus Brocadiaceae. The record is from Rfam by way of RNAcentral.
AACGAUAAAGGCAAACCCUGAGUGAUCAGGGGACGCAAAGUAAAGGAUCUUUAAUUAUACCGGUAGAAACGCAUCAUGAUGCGUUUCUCCUAUGAAUUAAAGAUAGCCCUACUACCGAAC